Molecule: ribosomal RNA, 525 nt
Filed under: Buchnera aphidicola (Aphis craccivora)
Lineage: Bacteria; Pseudomonadati; Pseudomonadota; Gammaproteobacteria; Enterobacterales; Erwiniaceae
Description: bacterial SSU rRNA
Rfam family: Bacterial small subunit ribosomal RNA
Source: RNAcentral
GAGUUUGAUCGUGGCUCAGAUUGAACGCUGGCGGCAAGCCUAACACAUGCAAGUCGAGCGGCAUCGAAAGAAAGCUUGCUUUCUUGUCGGCGAGCGGCAAACGGGUGAGUAAUAUCUGGGAAUCUACCCAAAAGAGGGGGAUAACUACUAGAAAUGGUAGCUAAUACCGCAUAAAGUUGAAAAACCAAAGUGGGGGACCAUCAUAGGCCUCAUGCUUUUGGAUGAGCCCAGACGAGAUUAGCUUGUUGGUAAGGUAAAGGCUUACCAAGGCUACGAUCUCUAGCUGGUCUGAGAGGAUAACCAGCCACACUGGAACUGAGACACGGUCCAGACUCCUACGGGAGGCAGCAGUGGGGAAUAUUGCACAAUGGGCGAAAGCCUGAUGCAGCUAUGCCGCGUGUAUGAAGAAGGCCUUAGGGUUGUAAAGUACUUUCAGCGGGAAGAAAAAUAAACUAAUAAUUUUAUUUUCUUGACGUUACCCGAAGAAGAAGCACCGGCUAACUCCGUGCCAGCAGCCGCAGUAAC